CCUGGGUGCGGUGGCAUUUGCCUGUAGUCCCAGCUACUCGGAGGCUGGGGUGGGAGGGUCGCUGGAGCCCAGGAGUUCUGGGCUGUAGUGCACUAUGCUGAGUGGGAGCUCACACUGAGUUCAGCAUCACUAUGGUGACCCCCUGGGAGCAGGGACCGCCAGGUUGCCUAAGGAGGGGUGAAGCUGCCCAGGUCAGAACAGAGCAGGUCAAGACUCUCGUGCUGAUCAGCAGUAGGAUCACACCUGUAAAUAGCCCCUGCAUUCCAGCCGGGGCAACAUAGUGAGACCCCACCUCU
Molecule: signal recognition particle RNA, 296 nt
Filed under: Cebus imitator (Panamanian white-faced capuchin)
Lineage: Eukaryota; Metazoa; Chordata; Mammalia; Primates; Cebidae
Description: Metazoan signal recognition particle RNA (ENSCCAG00000010515.1)
Rfam family: Metazoan signal recognition particle RNA
About the family: The signal recognition particle (SRP) is a universally conserved ribonucleoprotein.
Source: RNAcentral